This is a non-coding RNA of Camellia sinensis, 857 nucleotides long. The record is from RefSeq and is a predicted model, not a curated record. NCBI's taxonomy places the organism in Eukaryota, Viridiplantae, Streptophyta, Magnoliopsida, Ericales, Theaceae.
AAAAAUGGUUUCGGAUUCGGAGCUGGUGAAUCGGCUCUGGGAUGUGCUCCAAACCUCCGACCUCAAUACCACCACAGCCGACUCUAUCCGGCGCAUCCUGGAGUCAGAGUUCGACGUCGACUUGUCUGAUCACAAAGCCUUCAUCUGAGACCAAAUUGAUUCUUUCCUCGAGACCCGUGUUCAGAGGACCCACAACAACGCUGUCACUGUCGAAGAAGAAGAAGAUGAAUAAACGAUUCACGAGGAAGCUUCAAAGACUUUGAAACUUGAAGACAACAAGUCUAAGUUCGAAGAAGAAGAAGAAAGUGAUGGACAGAGAAACAAGAAAUGAAGAGAAAGGGUGAGGAGGUUCCUUCAUAUUUGUAUGGUUGUUGUAUAUUUCUUGUUGGUGAGUUUUCUUUUGAGAAUUGUCUUCCAUAAUUGUACUUCAAGUUAUUUUUGUGAUUGAACUCUAUGGAACAUGGAAUCCAGGAAUGAUGGGCUCCAAAAAGACUACAAUGGGCAAGGUUUUGUCUGAAGCACUAGCUUAUUCUUUUGUUGGCAGACAGGAAAUGCAACAAGGUUAGUUACUCCAGCUAUUGCUGCGGGUUUCUACAUUGGGCACCCUCGUCCCUAUGAUAGGAGCAAGUGGAUUUGCUAUAGCUGCAAUUGCAACUGCUAUAGGAACUGUUGUCUGUAGUUUUAGAUAAUCUCUUAAUAGUUGUCAAUAGAAAGAUAGAUAUGCAUAGUUUUAGAUGGUUUAAACUUUUUGUAUAGUUUAGAACUUAAAGAUAUAGUUUUCGAAUGUUUGGAAUGUAUAGAUAAUUGUUGAAUGUUUAUAAUUUAUGGAUAUAGUUUCUUUUUUAUGUUUCAAACAA